RNAcentral lists this ribosomal RNA (472 nucleotides) under uncultured bacterium. RNAcentral's name for it is "bacterial SSU rRNA". It matches the Rfam family "Bacterial small subunit ribosomal RNA", at positions 335 to 800 of the family's 1533-position model. The record is from RNAcentral.
ACUCCUACGGGAGGCAGCAGUGGGGAAUAUUGCACAAUGGGCGCAAGCCUGAUGCAGCCAUGCCGCGUGUAUGAAGAAGGCCUUCGGGUUGUAAAGUACUUUUCAGCAGUGAGGAAGGUGGGUAUGUUAAUAGCAUAUUCAUUUGACGUUAGCUGCAGAAGAAGCACCGGCUAACUCCGUGCCAGCAGCCGCGGUAAUACGGAGGGUGCGAGCGUUAAUCGGAAUUACUGGGCGUAAAGCGCAUGCAGGUGGUUGUUAAGUCAGAUGUGAAAGCCCGGGGCUCAACCUCGGAAUUGCAUUUGAAACUGGCAAACUAGAGUACUGUAGAGGGGGUAGAAUUUCAGGUGUAGCGGUGAAAUGCGUAGAGAUCUGAAGGAUACCGGUGGCGAAGGCGGCCCCCUGGACACGAUACUGACACUCAGAUGCGAAAGCGUGGGGAGCAAACAGGAUUAGAUCCCCUGGUAGGCUCUGC